GACGAACGCUGGCGGCGUGCCUAAUACAUGCAAGUAGAACGCUGAAGAGAGGAGCUUGCUCUUCUUGGAAGAGUUGCGAACGGGUGAGUAACGCGUAGGUAACCUGCCUUGUAGCGGGGGAUAACUAUUGGAAACGAUAGCUAAUACCGCAUAACAAUGGGCGACCCAUGUCAUUCAUUUGAAAGGGGCAACUGCUCCACUACAAGAUGGACCUGCGUUGUAUUAGCUAGUUGGUGGGGUAACGGCUCACCAAGGCGACGAUACAUAGCCGACCUGAGAGGGUGAUCGGCCACACUGGGACUGAGACACGGCCCAGACUCCUACGGGAGGCAGCAGUAGGGAAUCUUCGGCAAUGGACGGAAGUCUGACCGAGCAACGCCGCGUGAGUGAAGAAGGUUUUCGGAUCGUAAAGCUCUGUUGUAAGAGAAGAACGAGUGUGAGAGUGGAAAGUUCACACUGUGACGGUAUCUUACCAGAAAGGGACGGCUAACUACGUGCCAGCAGCCGCGGUAAUACGUAGGUCCCGAGCGUUGUCCGGAUUUAUUGGGCGUAAAGCGAGCGCAGGCGGUUAGAUAAGUCUGAAGUUAAAGGCUGUGGCUUAACCAUAGUACGCUUUGGAAACUGUUUAACUUGAGUGCAAGAGGGGAGAGUGGAAUUCCAUGUGUAGCGGUGAAAUGCGUAGAUAUAUGGAGGAACACCGGUGGCGAAAGCGGCUCUCUGGCUUGUAACUGACGCUGAGGCUCGAAAGCGUGGGGAGCAAACAGG
RNAcentral lists this ribosomal RNA (765 nucleotides) under uncultured Streptococcus sp. Its description in RNAcentral is "bacterial SSU rRNA". It matches the Rfam family "Bacterial small subunit ribosomal RNA", at positions 28 to 776 of the family's 1533-position model. Lineage: Bacteria; Bacillati; Bacillota; Bacilli; Lactobacillales; Streptococcaceae. The record is from RNAcentral.